ACCGCUUUGUACUUACGAUCUUGUAUCCACUGACUGUCUUGUUAGAUUAACCCAAUAAAUUUCAUUCACUCCGCAUACUCAAUCCUAUAGACACCUUUUUAAUCCUUCAAUCACAGACGUAACUCGAUUUCACAAAACAGUCAAGAGUAAUCAAACCCACUUCAUUAGAAAAAAUCCCGAUUCACCAUUACAACACUGACUUCAGCAACGAUUGCCUCAGUCUUCCCAAAACUCUAUAAAGAAGAAAAAUCCAAUUCUCCAUCUUUU
RNAcentral lists this long non-coding RNA (267 nucleotides) under Physcomitrium patens. RNAcentral describes it as "long non-coding RNA (PPAT_LNC010043)". The record is from RNAcentral. Lineage: Eukaryota; Viridiplantae; Streptophyta; Bryopsida; Funariales; Funariaceae.